CGGCAGCCCAAGUGGUGACCGUUUUUAUUGGGCCUAAAGCGUCCGUAGCCUGUUUUGUAAAUCUUCUGUGAAAUCGUUAAGCCUAACUUAACGGACUGCAGAAGAGACUACAAGGCCUGGAACCGGAAGGAGUCAGAAGUAUUUCUGGGGGAGCGGUAAAAUGUUAUAAUCCCAGAAAGACUACCUGUGGCGAAGGCGUCUGACUAGUACGGAUUCGACGGUGAGGGACGAAAGCUAGGGGAGCAAUCCGGAUUAGAGACCCGCGUAGUCC
Molecule: ribosomal RNA, 271 nt
Filed under: uncultured archaeon
Lineage: Archaea
Description: partial 16S ribosomal RNA
Rfam family: Archaeal small subunit ribosomal RNA
Source: RNAcentral